Molecule: long non-coding RNA, 886 nt
Organism: Leptinotarsa decemlineata (Colorado potato beetle)
Lineage: Eukaryota; Metazoa; Arthropoda; Insecta; Coleoptera; Chrysomelidae
Source: RefSeq, a predicted model, not a curated record
UGCUUUAUGUGACACAAAAAAUUAUAUGAACACCUUUAUUGACAUUUCCUGUAAUAAAUUAAAAAAUAUAUUUUUAUAUUAGGAAAAAUAUAACAAAUUCUCCAUAACGGCAAAUUUUCAAUAUUUCUAUAAAAUAGUAAUUACUUCAUUUCCAGUUAUUAAAAAAAACAUUAGUUUUAAUACUUAAACUCAAAUGCCUAUAUUGUUGAAAAAUAUCCUUCUGAAUUGAUGUGAAAUUGCAAAAAAAACAACAACCUUUUUCAAAUGACGUUUUUAAUGACUCUUUUAUUCACCCAACAUACUUUUUGUCUCAUUUUACAAUAAAAAUUUCAAAAAUCUGGUAAAAAAUUUGGCAAACUUCAGUAGUUCCUCAAUUAUCAAAAAUUAUGACACACUUUUACAAAUUAAUGGAGGAGUCAGGAGUUUCCAUGAAAAAUUUUGAAGGCAUUUAAAUCUGUUGUUUCAAAUUACUCUUUCCCCAUCGACGGUGCCCUUACCUGUGGUGGGGCUUGCAAACUUUUAUGAUAUCUAGAGCCAUGCGGUAGGUCAAUUACAGGUAGGGCCUCCCAAGCCGGAGAGGUCGAGGGUGAAAAGUCAGACGAAGACGGUACCUCCCUCUGCGUCAUCGGGGAUUAGAACAGAGAGGCAACUAAAAAGGGGGCUUAAAUUAGUUAUGCGAUUCGUGCCGAAGAAUUAAUCAUGCUUGAGCCUUGUCAGGUAUCACCAAUGGAGCCUCUGGGAUACCAGGCGACCUCUUAGAGUACUACGCCUUGCAUCCCUCGAGGGGGCUUCUUGGAUGUGGAAAAUCUUUUUCCCCGCACUCGUGGGACAUGGACUGAAUAGGCAUCUAGGAUUCGCAGCACAGAUUCAUUGAAAAUAACAUAUG